UUAUAAUCUUCUUAUUUUCUAAGGUCUCCUUUUACACGUUGCUCCCUUUCUUUGCUUCUCUCAGAAUGGGUCCUUUUGCAUGUGUUCCUUUAUAUCACAUUUUUAACGGUCUCCAUUCAAUUCGUUCAUAUAGAUUUCACCUUAUCUUCUUUUUCCAUCAUCUACUUAGAAACAACAAAAUAAGUUCAUUUCCCUAAUUCCUGUCUCUCUCCUAACUAAACUCUCUCUUCCUAACACUAUUUUGUUCUAGAUUCAUCAAAGAAUCAUACAAAAAAACUCCAUUAAGAUUUAUUCAAAAAUCAUCCAAUUUUCCUUUUUUUUCCAAUUAUCUCCAUAAGUUCAUCUCCUUGUAAACAUAUCUUCAAAAUCUUCAUCCUUUUCACCCCAAUUCUUCAAAAUUUACCUGAAACCCUUAUUCCAUAACCCAAAAACUUCUCCAAAUCUUCAUCUUCUGACAUCAUUUGCCUUCACAUACAAAAUGGCCGAACAAAACUACCUUUAUUUCUCCACCAACCCAUCAAAUCCUUACUACAUACACCCAAAUGAAAACCCUACGCUCAUUCUCGUCACCCCCUAUCCUAUCUCCUCUGUCCUAAGCUAUCAUAAUUGCUCUCCUACCUAUAAUUUUUUUUGCCUCUCUGUAUCCUCUACUACUAAACCAAAAUCCUACAAACAAGCUUCUUAAUCCAAUUGCUUGCUAGAACAAUACCAUGAAAGUUGAAUUAGUUGCCUUAAGUUCCACCAACAAUUGGUCCAUCGUUGAUUUACCACCUAACAAAAAGCAAAUAGAUUGCAAAUGACUCUAUAGAACGUUAUAAAGUAUGCCUCGUCUCAAAAGGCUACUCAGGUUGAAGGUAUAGAUUAUUUCGACACUUUUUCUCCGAUUGUAAAGCUAACAACGAUAAGAUCUCUCUUUGCUUUAACUUCUAUUAAAGGUUGGUUUUUAGAACACUUAUAUGUAACUAACGCUUUUCUGCAUGGAGAUUUACACGAAGAAGUGUACAUGAUCUUACCUAAAGGUCUUAUUUUAUCUGAUUUUGUCUCCACUAGAAACUAAGUCUAUAAGCUACAAAAGUUCAUUUAUGGACUCAAACAAGCUAGAAGACAAUGAUUCUGAUUGGGCAACUUGCACCAUUUCUAGAAAAUCAAUCACAUGAUAUGUAGUUUUCCUUGGCUCCUCCUCUCAUCUCAUGGAAAUCAAAGAAGCAACACACAAUUUCUAGGAGUAGCUCUGAAGUGGAAUAUCGGGCGUUGGCAAGCUUGACUUACGAAAUACAAUGGCUACAGAAUUUAUUUAAAGACUUGAAUCACUCAUUAUAUCAACCAACCCCUGUUUACUAUGACAAAAAUUCUGUAAUUUACCUGGCGCAUAAUCCUUCCUUUCAUGAAUGAUCGAAGCAAAUAGAAAUUAAUUAUCA
Molecule: long non-coding RNA, 1418 nt
Organism: Lathyrus oleraceus (garden pea)
Lineage: Eukaryota; Viridiplantae; Streptophyta; Magnoliopsida; Fabales; Fabaceae
Exons: 2
Source: RefSeq, a predicted model, not a curated record